UGGGGAUCUUAGGAAUAUCUGCCCACACCAAGAAAUGGCAAAAUGACUUUGCCUUGAGAAAACCCGCACCCUUGGAAAGAAAAAGAGAAAGAAUUGGCUUGGAAGCAAAGAGAGAAAGGAAGAAAAGAGAAAGAAAGAAAGGAGAAAAAAGAAAAAGAUAUGGAAGGUUUGCCCUAGUGGUUCCAAGCUAAGGAAGGAAGUAGAAAUUUGAUUUUAGUUAUGAAUUUCUUGAAGAAAUGAGUUGGUAAUUGUGUGAAAAUGUUGUGGCAGCAAAGGGCUUCCAAGAAUUGAAGGAAAUAGAUGCAUGGUUACAGGUGGAUCUUGGAAUGUAUGGUGAUUUUGAGCUAGAUAAGCAAUGGGUAAGUAUUUUGGCCUUGAAAUCACAAGUAAAGAAGAGAAAUGAGAUAUGCGCUAAUUGUUUAUGUUUGUGGCAACAACGAUGACCAUGGAUGGGAGGAAAUUGUGAACCAUAUGUGGAAAUCAAGCUAAAACCGAGAGGAAAGUUUGUCGUAGUGGUGUGCUAGAGGAGAUAACGAGUGAUCGACAAGAAGAGUUAGCUAGAUACGCACUUGAAUCAAUAGUGUUGUAGCGUCCUGCUAUUAUAAGAUAAGUUAUCAGCUCAAGUACAUUGCUCAGCACCUCGAGACUUGCUGCAACAUAAGUAAUGGCAUUUCUUAGAGUUGCACUUCAAGUCGCUCCACUGCAUAGAUGUUGUGUUGUGUAAAAUAAUUAGACUUAUAAAGAUUAUCAGUUUAUUGAAAAUGUAUUUUUUGAAAAACUUUAAGGUUGUGUAUUGGAUGUUAAGUGUGAAGUUGGGACACAUGAGGAUAUUGUAACUAGUUGAUAUACUUUAAUUGUAAUUGUUUAUUUGGUUUAUGUAAACAAAAGUAUU
Molecule: long non-coding RNA, 892 nt
Organism: Theobroma umbraticum
Lineage: Eukaryota; Viridiplantae; Streptophyta; Magnoliopsida; Malvales; Malvaceae
Source: RefSeq, a predicted model, not a curated record